GACGGACGCUGGCGGCGUGCUUAACACAUGCAAGUCGAACGGAAAGGCCCCAUCUUGCUGGGGUACUCGAGUGGCGAACGGGUGAGUAACACGUGGGUGAUCUGCCCUGCACUCUGGGAUAAGCCUGGGAAACUGGGUCUAAUACCGGAUAGGACCGUGCUUUAGUGUGUGCGGUGGAAAGUUUUUCGGUGCAGGAUGAGCCCGCGGCCUAUCAGCUUGUUGGUGGGGUAAUGGCCUACCAAGGCGGCGCCGGGUAGCCGGCCUGAGAGGGUGUACGGCCACAUUGGGACUGAGACACGGCCCAGGCUCCUACGGGAGGCAACAGUGGGGAAUAUUGCACAAUGGGCGCAAGCCUGAUGCAGCGACGCCGCGUGGGGGAUGACGGCCUUCGGGUUGUAAACCCCUUUCGGCAGGGACGAAGCUUUUGUGACGGUACCUGCAUAAGAAGCACCGGCUAACUACGU
Molecule: ribosomal RNA, 464 nt
Filed under: uncultured bacterium
Lineage: Bacteria
Description: partial 16S ribosomal RNA
Rfam family: Bacterial small subunit ribosomal RNA
Source: RNAcentral